This is a long non-coding RNA of Helianthus annuus (common sunflower), 997 nucleotides long. RefSeq lists it as uncharacterized. The transcript has 2 exons. The record is from RefSeq and is a predicted model, not a curated record. NCBI's taxonomy places the organism in Eukaryota, Viridiplantae, Streptophyta, Magnoliopsida, Asterales, Asteraceae.
CAUACUUUUUAGCUCAACCUUUGAACAUAUCUUUUACAGUGAAAUUUUAUUAAACUUGCUGGAGAAACCCUAGUUCUCGGUGAGCCACCACUCUGGCCACCAACACUGCCUAUCUAAUCUAUCUGCCACCCCCUCUGCGCCGAUCUCCACCACACCACACCACACCACACCAUUCCAGUGAGUUCUACCACCGCCCAUACAACAUCCCCCUCUCUCUAGGGUUUAAGGCUAGAUUCAACCUGAAAAGCAAAGGGCUCGCUAGUUUUGUAAGACUUGUUGGUGUAGAAACCCUAGAACGCCUAUUCAAUUAGCUUGAGGGGGUAGAUCUAGAGCCUAUAUUUUCUGUUUUCCAAUUUUCCCUUUGUUUUGGGAUGUUUCGAGACCUUGUUAGGGUUUUAGGCGGUGUCUUUUGGCGCAAAACUUGACGAGUUCUGUACUUAAUGUUUCAAAAUCUUGCACGGUAUAGAAACAUUAAUGAAGAUGUUCGCGUUUCUCAACAUGUUCAUGAUCAUGGGUUGAAUCACUACCAAAUAUUUCAAGCACAAAUCAGUUAAACCACGCAAAGAGAUCACCAUUAAGAUGAAAAAAGAGGAGUAAUUUUCUGGAUUGCUACCACAUAUAUUGGUUUGACGAUAGCAUGCAUCUUUGCAAACUGUUUGCAUAUAUAGAAUAUGAAAUAUAGAAGAUGCAGAAAUAAAGAUAUGUCCUUUAUCGUAAUUUGCUUGUAGUUGCUCACCAAGUUUCUUAUGCUCAAAAUUGUAUCAAAUACAAUCUUAGCAAAGACCAUGUUGAUUAAUGAACAUGUUGAUUACCAUAUCGAAAUAGUUUAGAAGAUAAUUAGGAAUAAUAACUUUUCUGUUUUUAGAGGGUGUUUGUUUUUUUGUGAAAAGUACUUCUAGACCUCUUAUGUCUUCCUCACGCAGACCACGUGCAGACGUUUGAGUCUGCAGUGUGUUUGUUUUUGGGAAGUGAUUUCAUUAAAAAAAGCUCUUCUAAA